CUCCUUUAGUUCUUAAACAUAAUAAUUGGAUGUCCAUGCAUAUUGUGACAUAUGUCAACCUUGAAUCUUGUUAUGAUGUCUGCACGUUAUCUGUCUGAUA
Molecule: small nucleolar RNA, 100 nt
Organism: Saimiri boliviensis boliviensis (Bolivian squirrel monkey)
Lineage: Eukaryota; Metazoa; Chordata; Mammalia; Primates; Cebidae
Product: small nucleolar RNA U13
Source: RefSeq, a predicted model, not a curated record